GAAUAGAUACCCCUGGUAGUCCUAGCCGUAAACGAUACUCGCUAGGUGUCGGCCACGGUGCGACCGUUGUCGGUGCCGUAGGGAAGCCGUGAAGCGAGCCACCUGGGAAGUACGGCCGCAAGGCUGAAACUUAAAGGAAUUGGCGGGGGGAGCACCACAACGGGUGGAGCUUGCGGUUUAAUUGGAUUCAACGCCGGAAAUCUUACCGGGACCGACAGCAACAUGAAGGCCAGGCUGAAGACUUUGCCGGAUUAGCUGAGAGGUGGUGCAUGGCCGUCGUCAGUUCGUACUGUGAAGCAUCCUGUUAAGUCAGGCAACGAGCGAGACCCACGCCCACAGUUGCCAGCGUACUCUCCGGAGUGACGGGUACACUGUGGGGACCGCCGCUGCUAAAGCGGAGGAAGGAAUGGGGCAACGGUAGGUCAGUAUGCCCCGAAUAUCCCGGGCUACACGCGAGCUACAAUGGUUGGUACAAUGGGUAUCUACCCCGAAAGGGGAUGGAAAUCUCCUAAAGCCAAUCUUAGUUCGGAUUGAGGGCUGCAACUCGCCCUCA
RNAcentral lists this ribosomal RNA (553 nucleotides) under uncultured bacterium. RNAcentral's name for it is "bacterial SSU rRNA". It matches the Rfam family "Archaeal small subunit ribosomal RNA", at positions 727 to 1276 of the family's 1478-position model. The record is from RNAcentral.